This 348-nucleotide ribosomal RNA is filed under the name uncultured bacterium. RNAcentral describes it as "bacterial SSU rRNA". It matches the Rfam family "Bacterial small subunit ribosomal RNA", at positions 8 to 350 of the family's 1533-position model. The record is from RNAcentral.
AGAGUUUGAUCAUGGCUCAGGAUGAACGCUAGCUACAGGCUUAACACAUGCAAGUCGAGGGGCAGCAUGUUGGUCGCUUGCAACCAAUGAUGGCGACCGGCGCACGGGUGAGUAACGCGUAUCCAACCUACCCUUGUCCAUCGGAUAACCCGUCGAAAGGCGGCCUAACACGAUAUGCGGUUCUCAGCAGGCAUCUAACGAGAACGAAAUGUGAAGGAGAAGGAUGGGGAUGCGUCUGAUUAGCUUGUUGGCGGGGUAACGCCCACCAAGGCGACGAUCAGUAGGGGUUCUGAGAGGAAGGUCCCCCACAUUGGAACUGAGACACGGUCCAAACUCCUACGAGAGGCA